Molecule: long non-coding RNA, 1184 nt
Filed under: Chrysolophus pictus (golden pheasant)
Lineage: Eukaryota; Metazoa; Chordata; Aves; Galliformes; Phasianidae
Description: lncRNA (ENSCPIG00010012614.1)
Source: RNAcentral
AUCUCUCAGGGCUGGGAUCCCAUUUCAAGGGGCGUUAGGCUGACUGACAUCCAGUGCAGCUGGAGCUCCUUGCAUCUCAGUGUCUAUCCCCUUCAUUUGGGUGCUGGGUUUGGUGUGCUUGGGCAUUAGGACUCGAACCAGGCAGACAGGGGGCUCUGGGCAGGUUCACAUGGGGGGCUGAAAGUGAGAUGUGACCCAAAGGGAGAAACCUGGGACAGCAGAGAGUCUGUGGGGAUGGAGAUGGUAGAACUGGGAGCCUGAGAGCAGCCAAAGGGCAGCUACUCCCACCCAAUCCCAUACGCAAUAAGUAAAGACAUGCUUAGGCAGGAGGAGCAGUGUGGAGGAUGCUGCAACAUGGGGGGGACAGGAGGCAGAGAGGAGCUGGCAAUAGGAAUACAGCACACUGCAACCUGAACACUUAAGAUCUGGAGCCUGGACUUGGAUGCAGCACCUGAGCUUGUGUGGAAACUGCUGUGUUUCCCAUAAAACGUUAAUUCCUUGUCCUGACCUGCGGAAAUACCCCUCAAUUUUUGUCAGUGCAAAGCUAUGCCUAAAGAUUAAACCUGCAUGUGCUCUGCACGUCAAGGAAAACACCAUUUGACAUCAGCACCAGCAAUGUGACCUCCAAGAAAUCCUGCAAGCAGAGAAGGAAUAGCAACAUCUCAUACAAGCCUUUGGAAGGGACUGGAGGAUACAUCUGUAGGAUGUAUAGUAGUGACGUGCUGCUGACCUCGCAGCCCUGGGGUGUUGGAGCUGGUGGCCAGGAUUGGCAGGGCCUUUCCCAUGUGGAGGGCUAAUUCUGUACCCUCAGGACCGGAUACGGUAUCUCGUCAGCAGCACCCGGCUGGAGAAGGGAAGAGCAUUGUGUGGGCUGUUGCUUUUUUUAAAAACCACUUAUGACCCUGGGAGGAGCAUGUGAGCAAGAGGAGGGCAUGUGAGCAUUGCUGCAAGGAGGGGCAGAAACUGGGGAAAACUCCCAGCUCCUGAAUCUCACAGGGAAAUCCCUAGAAAGCUCCCUGGUGCCCCCUUUCUCAGCAUACAAACUCCUAUGCAGUGGGAAUCAGGUGGGACCAUAAGCACUGGUGAGCUCCAUGCCGCCCUCGCUCCUUGAGGUGAAGAACAACCCCAUGACCUUGCAGUGUUGCUGCCCACCCCAUCAGCCAGCACAGGAAGGGUAUCCCCCA